UACGGAGGAUGCGAGCGUUAUCCGGAUUUAUUGGGUUUAAAGGGUGCGUAGGCGGGCUUUUAAGUCAGCGGUAAAAAUUCGGGGCUCAACCCCGUCCGGCCGUUGAAACUGGGGGCCUUGAGUGGGCGAGAAGAAGGCGGAAUGCGUGGUAUAGCGGUGAAAUGCAUAGAUAUCACGCAGAACCCCGAUUGCGAAGGCAGCCUUCCGGCGCCCUACUGACGCUGAGGCACGAAAGUGCGGGGAUCGAACAGG
This 252-nucleotide ribosomal RNA is filed under the name uncultured bacterium. RNAcentral describes it as "partial 16S ribosomal RNA". It matches the Rfam family "Bacterial small subunit ribosomal RNA", at positions 524 to 776 of the family's 1533-position model. The record is from RNAcentral.